CAGCGACGGUAGCAGCAGCAUGGCCGCGAUCUGUGGGGGUGUAGAGGGGGGAGGCACACGGUCCAAGGUCCUUUUAGUCUCAGAGGAUGGGAAGAUCCUGGCAGAAGCAGAUGGACUGAGCACAAACCACUGGCUGAUCGGGACAGACAAGUGUGUGGAGAGGAUCAAUGAGAUGGUGAACAGGGCCAAACGGAAAGCAGGGGUGGAUCCUCUGGUACCGCUGCGAAGCUUGGGCCUAUCUCUGAGCGGUGGGGACCAGGAGGACGCGGGGAGGAUCCUGAUCGAGGAGCUGAGGGACCGAUUUCCCUACCUGAGUGAAAGCUACUUAAUCACCACGGAUGCCGCCGGCUCCAUCGCCACAGCUACACCGGAUGGUGGAGUUGUGCUCAUAUCUGGAACAGGCUCCAACUGCAGGCUCAUCAACCCUGAUGGCUCCGAGAGUGGCUGCGGCGGCUGGGGCCAUAUGAUGGGUGAUGAGGGUUCAGGUGAGCUCACUGACUGGCCCAGCUCCAGGUCCUGGAUCUGCUCCUUCCUUCACUCCCUGUCUUUCUCUCCUUACCCUUGGCUCACUGAGCCCUUGGGGCUUCCUGGGGACAACUCCUGAACCUGGCCAUUCCAUGUGCAGGAUCAUGACUGAGAUCAUAGAGGUGCAAAUGCUGGACGAGCUGCUGACCCUGCUCUCCAGCAGUGACUUGCACCCAGGACUCAGAUUCAUCCCUCAGCACAGGGGCCUGCCUGUGUUGACUUGCUGUCCUUAGGGAGGAGUUGAAACUGAGGGUAAGGCCAUAGAUGCCAGGAGAUGCCAUACCAGUCUGCUAGGGGAAAGGGUGUAGAAGCCCUUCCAACAUCACCUCUCUCUAGGUAGUGUGUGCAUAUUUUCAUAGGGGCCCUUGAGGUCCAGUUCAUGGCAGUGACUCCAGUGGUAUUUGUGACAACAGACUGACCUUGUCUUAUCCUUGGGUAGGAGCUGGUGUGACACAGCCUCACCUAUUCUGUUUUCCCCCUCCAACUUUCCCUUAUCUUGGUCAGUCAGAUACAGUUUGAUAGAGACCCUCCCACCCCCCUCUCCCAUCCCCUGCCACCCCUGGCUGGGAAUCAGGAAACCUAAUUUGUAUAAAACUCAAGCAGAUCACUAACCUGUCUGGAUCUGAGUUUCCUUCCUCGUGAGCUCAGGAUGACUGCUCCCAUCUUCUUAGCCCUCUGUGCUCCCUGCAGCCUACUGGAUCGCACACCAAGCAGUGAAAAUAGUGUUUGACUCCAUUGACAACCUAGAGGCGGCUCCUCAUGAUAUCGGCUACGUCAAACAGGCCAUGUUCCACUAUUUCCAGGUGCCAGAUCGGCUAGGGAUACUCACUCACCUGUAUAGGGACUUUGAUAAAUGCAGGUUUGCUGGGUUUUGCCGGAAAAUUGCAGAAGGUACUGGAGGUGGGGGGUGGGGUUUUAUCUGGCUUUGUUCUCCAAAGAUCCCCAGUUGGGAGAUUGAGUGGGGUUCAGACAGGACUGACAACAAUUUUCCUCUCACCAAGUGACCUCAGUUCUCUGCCACCACUGGCCUUGGUGGUGGUGGUGGGCCUUGGGUUGGAGGCAGAAGGGCACGUGGGUCGUGUUGACAGUUUUGUAUUACCUGUGUUUUUUUCUUUAAUAGCUAUUAUGGCUUGCGUAGGCUGUAUACCUGUUUCUGAGGAAUUUAUGAAGCAGUUGUCCUUUGGACAAAUCUAUAACUUUUUUUUCCUAGCCAAUUAUACUCAAAGAACUAGGGGAUUAUAGAGAGGUUAGGCAUAUUUUGUUGGGUGUCAGGAGAGCUGAACAGAGGGCUUGUAUAUCUGUACAUUGCUCUUUCUCCACUGUGAGGUCCAUCCUGCCUUAAUUUGGGUUCCUGUAGCCUCAGGGCAUUCUAGGGCUCUCUUAGAUCCUGCUGGACUGAGUCCCCUCUAGAAAAGAACCAGGAACAUGCUAACCAACAGCAGACUGUUAGAAGUCGGUGGAGGGCACUGACAGGAGUACCAGCCAGCUGUUCAGCUAGGGUCCUGGCUCCCCAGAGCUGACAGCCUCAUAGGAACAGACUUACAGUAACUCAGUGUGAGCUGGAUGCAUACUAGGUGCCAGUACAUUCCUUUAGUGGGUGCUGCCCUCCCUUCCUGAGUUGGGGGACUGAGUGAGCACCUCUGUACAGGGCACCCCUCUACAGAGGGAGGUAGCUGGUAUGUUUGUCAGUGGAGACUUGCUUCUCCACCUGCCACGAGGCGGACAUCCACCCUGAGUAGACUCCUGCUAGCUCAGGGUGCUCCCGUGAUGGCUGCCUUGCAACAGAGAGAGGAUAGCCCAGGAAUGGCAGCUCCCUCCUUUCUCACCAGUUCCCUUCUUCCAUCCUGCCUACCCCAGGUGCUCAGCAGGGAGACCCCCUUUCCCGCUAUAUCUUCAGGAAGGCUGGGGAGAUGCUGGGCAGACACAUUGUAGCAGUGUUGCCCGAGAUUGACCCGGUCUUGUUCCAGGGCGAGAUUGGACUCCCCAUCCUGUGCGUGGGCUCUGUGUGGAAGAGCUGGGAGCUGCUGAAGGAAGGUUUUCUUUUGGCGCUGACCCAGGGCAGAGAGAUCCAGGCUCAGAACUUCUUCUCCAGCUUCACCCUGAUGAAGCUGAGGCACUCCUCCGCUCUGGGUGGGGCCAGCCUAGGGGCCAGGCACAUCGGGCACCUCCUCCCCAUGGACUAUAGCGCCAAUGCCAUUGCCUUCUAUUCCCACACCUUCUCCUAGGGGGCUGGUCCUGGCUCCACCCACUCCAAGCUCAGUGGACACUGGGUCUGGAAGGAAGGAGUCUUUUGCUUCCUUUCUCCUUUUUAGAAAAACAAACAUAGAAGAAAAUAAA
RNAcentral lists this small RNA (2862 nucleotides) under Pongo abelii (Sumatran orangutan). RNAcentral describes it as "retained intron". Lineage: Eukaryota; Metazoa; Chordata; Mammalia; Primates; Hominidae. The record is from RNAcentral.